Molecule: ribosomal RNA, 391 nt
Filed under: Sternoptyx obscura
Lineage: Eukaryota; Metazoa; Chordata; Actinopteri; Stomiiformes; Sternoptychidae
Description: partial 12S ribosomal RNA
Rfam family: Bacterial small subunit ribosomal RNA
Source: RNAcentral
UAUGCUUGACCGUAAACUUUAAUAUUAGCGUACUUUAAUAUUCACCGGGGGACUACGGGCAUCAGCCUAAAACCCAAAGGAUUUGGCGGUAUUUCAGACCCGUCUAGAGGAGCCUGUUCUAUAAUCGAUAAUCCCCGUUCAACCUCACCAUCUCUUGUCAAUUCAGCCUAUAUACCGCCGUCGCCAAUUUACCCUGUAAAGGAUUUAAAGUAAGUAAAAGGGGCACUGCCCAGAACGUCAGGUCAAGGUGUAGCAGAUGAGAUGGAAAGAAAUUGGCUACAUUCCCUAUUAUUUAGGGUAUACGGAUGGUAUUAUUAAAUUAAUAUCUGAAGGCGGAUUUAGCAGUAAGGGAGAAGUAGAGUGUCUGUCUGAAGCUGGCUCUGAAAUGAGU